Molecule: unclassified non-coding RNA, 380 nt
Filed under: uncultured Lysobacteraceae bacterium
Lineage: Bacteria; Pseudomonadati; Pseudomonadota; Gammaproteobacteria; Lysobacterales; Lysobacteraceae
Description: uncultured Xanthomonadaceae bacterium contains 16S-23S intergenic spacer region
Source: RNAcentral
UACCGCUUAACGACGGUCAGUCUCCUUAGAGUUCCCGCCAUUACGCGCUGGCAACUAAGGACAAGGGUUGCGCUCGUUGCGGGACUUAACCCAACAUCUCACGACACGAGCUGACGACAGCCAUGCAGCACCUGUCUCACGGUUCCCGAAGGCACCCGCCCAUCUCUGGGCAGUUCCGUGGAUGUCAAGGCCAGGUAAGGUUCUUCGCGUUGCAUCGAAUUAAACCACAUACUCCACCGCUUGUGCGGGCCCCCGUCAAUUCCUUUGAGUUUCAGUCUUGCGACCGUACUCCCCAGGCGGCGAACUUAACGCGUUAGCUUCGAUACUGGGUGCCUAGUUGCACCCAACAUCCAGUUCGCAUCGUUUAGGGCGUGGACUAC